Molecule: non-coding RNA, 164 nt
Filed under: uncultured Succiniclasticum sp.
Lineage: Bacteria; Bacillati; Bacillota; Negativicutes; Acidaminococcales; Acidaminococcaceae
Description: Lysine riboswitch
Rfam family: Lysine riboswitch aptamer
About the family: Riboswitches are metabolite binding domains within certain messenger RNAs that serve as precision sensors for their corresponding targets.
Source: RNAcentral
UUGAUAGAGGCGCGGUGUUUAUGAGUAUCCCGUGGAGAGGCAUCUGGGAAGCGGGCCAAAGGAAACAUCGCCGAAGGGACCGGACCGGCGGGUUCAGUCAGCUGGGCCUGCAAUGAAGAAUUGCAGGACUGUCGUCGUCAGGACAUGACGGCGGAGAGCUAUCU